GGACGAACGGCUGGCGGCGUGCCUAAUACAUAGCAAGUCGAACGGUCUUUCUAUGGAAGCUUGCUUCCACUGAAAGAUAGUGGCGAACGGGUGAGUAACACGUGGGUAACCUGCCCAUAAGAGGGGGAGUAACAUCCGGAAACGGGUGCUAAUACCGCAUAGUUUUCUUGAUCGCAUGAUCGGGAAAGGAAAGACGGCCUUUGUGCUGUCGCUUAUGGAUGGACCCGCGGCGUAUUAGUUAGUUGGUGAGGUAACGGCUCACCAAGACGAUGAUACGUAGCCGACCUGAGAGGGUGAUCGGCCACAUUGGGACUGAGACACGGCCCAAACUCCUACGGGAGGCAGCAGUAGGGAAUCUUCCGCAAUGGACGAAAGUCUGACGGAGCAACGCCGCGUGAGUGAAAGAAGGUUUUCGGAUCGUAAAACUCUGUUGUCAGAGAAGAACAAGUUGGAGAGUAACUGCUCCAGCCUUGACGGUAUCUGACCAGAAAGCCACGGCUAACUACGUGCCAGCCGCCGC
RNAcentral lists this ribosomal RNA (520 nucleotides) under uncultured bacterium. RNAcentral describes it as "bacterial SSU rRNA". It matches the Rfam family "Bacterial small subunit ribosomal RNA", at positions 35 to 518 of the family's 1533-position model. The record is from RNAcentral.